RNAcentral lists this ribosomal RNA (548 nucleotides) under Tausonia pullulans. Its description in RNAcentral is "LSU rRNA". It matches the Rfam family "Eukaryotic large subunit ribosomal RNA", at positions 90 to 621 of the family's 3401-position model. Lineage: Eukaryota; Fungi; Basidiomycota; Tremellomycetes; Cystofilobasidiales; Mrakiaceae. The record is from RNAcentral.
CGAGUGAAGCGGGAUGAGCUCAAAUUUAAAAUCUGGCGGUCUCAGAUCGUCCGAGUUGUAGUCUAGAGAAGCGUUUUCCGUGCUGGCCUGUGUACAAGUCCGUUGGAACACGGCGUCAUAGAGGGUGAGAAUCCCGUCCUUGACACAGAUCUCCAGUGCUUUGUGAUGCGCUCUCAAAGAGUCGAGUUGUUUGGGAAUGCAGCUCAAAAUGGGUGGUAAAUUCCAUCUAAAGCUAAAUAUUGGCGAGAAACCGAUAGCGAACAAGUACCGUGAGGGAAAGAUGAAAAGCACUUUGGAAAGAGAGUUAAACAGUACGUGAAAUUGUUGAAAGGGAAACGAUUGAAGUCAGUCAUGCUUUCCGAGACUCAGCCGGUUCUGCCGGUGUACUUCUCGGUUUGCAGGCCAGCAUCAGUUUUGGGCGGUGGAAAAGGUUGGCGGGAAUGUGGCAUCCUCGGAUGUGUUAUAGCCCGCUUUCGAAUACAUCGCCCGGGACUGAGGAACGCAGCACGCCUCUUGUAGGUCGGUCUUCGGACACGUCCGUGCUUAGG